AUGUGGCUGGCAGUUCACGGAAGAUGUCUGACGGCGGAUAACUUAGAGAGAAGGAACUGGCCGUCAAAUGGCACCUGCACACUAUGCUCAUCUGUCCCGGAGACUUGCUCACAUCUUUUUGUGCACUGUGACUUUACCAGGCAGGUUUGGACGAGGUUCAGGGAUUGGACAGGGGCAGAUUUCAUAAUACCGGAGGUCAAUUUCAGUUCUACAGAGGAUUGGUGGCUGAAGGCGAGGGAGGGGAUCCCAAAACCAAUGAAGAAGAACUUCGAUACUAUUGUCAUCCUUCUCCAUUGGAGGAUUUGGAAGGAAAGAAACGCGAGGAUUUUUGACAAUGUCGCUAGCUCGGCUGACAGGGUUCGGGACCUGGUAAUACAGGAUAUCCACACAUGGAGGGCAGCAGGAUGCAUUUGUGACCCGACGACAUGA
RNAcentral lists this ribosomal RNA (429 nucleotides) under Triticum aestivum (bread wheat). RNAcentral's name for it is "partial small subunit ribosomal RNA". The record is from RNAcentral. Lineage: Eukaryota; Viridiplantae; Streptophyta; Magnoliopsida; Poales; Poaceae.